GCCAAAUCAAAAUCAUGGCGCCCAAGAAGUCCUCAUCGUCUGCUUCUCCAAUCCUAAUCGGUAAUUGCGAGGUCACUGUAGAAGCACACAACUUCACUUGCCAAUCAGAUCCCAACAGCCUCCAAAUUUCUCUCACCAAAAGCGCAAAAAUCAAAAUUUCAGUGAGGGAAGACUUCAGUAGAAGAUGCAGUGAUGAUAUUUGGGAAUCUAAAGCUGAAGGAGAAGGGAGAGCUUCCAUUCUUGGGGAUGAGUAUAUUUUUGUCCUAGUAAAUUCAAAAGAUUCUGAUAGCUGUAGCAAAUCCUAUCUUCAGGAGGCGUUAAAGAUAUACACCAUAGAAUUACCUGCAAUGAAUUAUAGUGCAAAUACUGGAAAGCAAUCAAUGUUUCUAGAAAAAUGUGUCUCAAAUGGGAAAUACUGCUCACUGCUUUUGAAAUCCAGGUCUGGUGAAAGUUCUGAAGAAGCUAUAGCUGCAAUUACAUAUCAAAUAGUCCCUUCUGACACCCAGUAUGCUGAGAUUCCUCUUGCUGCUGUUAGUUCAAUCCACCAACACAAGGGUUUUGGUCACUACUUGUACAUGGAAUUGAGGAAGAGACUUUGGAGUGUUGGUGUCCGCACUAUAUACUGUUGGGGAGAUAAGGAAUCUGAGGGUUUUUGGCUUAAACAGGGUUUUGAAUCCAUAGCAGAGGUGGACGAAAAAGGUAGAGCUUGUCGCAGGCUGCCCAUUAAGGCUGAUAUCCGUAGAGCAUUAUGCUUUCCUGGUGGUUCAAUCCUUAUGGUUUCACAUCUUAAUAAGGAUACUUCAGCUAACUAUGUAGAGCCAUUGAAGUUCCUUUUUCCACUAAAACCUCAUAAGAAGCCUUCAUCAGCUGUUGCUGUGUCUAUUCAUCCUGAGGAGGGUUGCAAUACUUUGAACACAGAAAAUCAAAUGGCAAAAAGUUCUCAUUCUGAAAGAAUGAUAGGGGAUGCGUUUCUUGGAGAAGAUAACAAUUUAGAUGGUUUUUCUUGGAAUCAGGAAUGCAAAGAACCAGCUCCAUUUGAGGGACAGAAAUGCAGCAAGAUGACAAAUGGUGCAGAAUUGGAAAAGAUUGAAGCUGAUAUUGAUGUCAAAUGCUGUUCCUGUCAUACACAAGGUACAAAGAGGGCUUGGGAAGCCUCAUUAUCCUCACUGAAGUCAAAAAGAGUGAAGGGAAGUCAUCAAAUUGAUUGUGAAACAGAAUCUAUCAUGGGUUUAGAUUCAGGAUCAGGAAGUGAAAGAAUUGAUCGUUGCUUUAAUGAGUGCUCCUUGGGCAUUUCAAAAAGUAGUUAUUUUGUGGGGGUUACUCCUACAAAUCCCUUGACUAGUAAUUGCAUGGAAAAUAAUGCCAAAGAAGGUAGAUCAAUUAACAUGGCAUCAGAAGCUCUGGUCAGCAAAGAACUUCCAUCCAAGGGAGAAGGCGUAAGAAUCAUGUUGAUGAAUAUUGCUGAUGAUACUAAGAAAAUGCAUCUUUCAAAGGUAAUUGAAAUUCUUGGUGGUAUUGUUACAUCUGAUGGAAGUGAAAGCACACAUGUAGUCACAGGAAAAGUAAGAAAAACUAUAAAUUUCUGCAAUGCUCUCUGCUCAGGUGCUUGGAUAGUCUCAUCAAGUUGGUUAAAAGAAAGCUUCCGAAAAAGCAAAUUUGUGGAUGAAUUGCCAUAUAUUUUGCAUGAUGAGGAACACAUUGUCAGGUAUGGAACUGAGUUAAAACAUGCAGUUUUCAGAGCAAAAGCCAGACCCAGAGCUCUGCUUAAAGGGUAUAACAUAUGUCUCCAACCUCCAGUUGAAGCUCUAUCCACCAUUGUCAGGUCUGCUGGUGGGAAUAUAAUUUCUGGAUUGGACAAAGUAAAUGAAGCAUCAAAAACAAUUUUUGUUGCUUGUGAAGAAGACAUGGAAGAAGCAUUCUCAGCUGCAAAGAAAGGGAUACGGACAUUCAGCAGUGACUGGUUGAUAAACUGCAUCAUGAAACAAGAGCUGGAUUUACAGGCACUUCAAUUUGCUGAGUCCUUGUGAGGAAACUACACAACUUGCAGUGAGGUUUGGACAAGUAGGAGAAUGUAAAUUUGUUUUCUCCCCCUUUUCCAUUUCUUGCUUUUGUGCAGAGAAAGAAAACUCUAGGCAAAAGCAAAUGUUAUUAUUUAUCCAUGGAAUUCUUAUUUCAAUCUGAAAAGACCAUCAGAAUUCAAAAUAUUUUGUUUAAAAAAGAGAACUCUUAACAUGUUGUGAAGGCCUGUUUUAUCUGAAUGAUAAUGCUAAGAAUUUUU
This 2278-nucleotide unclassified non-coding RNA is filed under the name Hevea brasiliensis (rubber tree). Lineage: Eukaryota; Viridiplantae; Streptophyta; Magnoliopsida; Malpighiales; Euphorbiaceae. The record is from RNAcentral.